This 492-nucleotide ribosomal RNA is filed under the name uncultured bacterium. Its description in RNAcentral is "partial 16S ribosomal RNA". It matches the Rfam family "Bacterial small subunit ribosomal RNA", at positions 29 to 507 of the family's 1533-position model. The record is from RNAcentral.
AGUGAACGCUGGCGGUAGGCCUAACACAUGCAAGUCGAACGGCAGCACAGUAAGAGCUUGCUCUUACGGGUGGCGAGUGGCGGACGGGUGAGGAAUACAUCGGAAUCUACUUUUUCGUGGGGGAUAACGUAGGGAAACUUACGCUAAUACCGCAUACGACGUACGGGUGAAAGCAGGGGAUCUUCGGACCUUUCGCGAUUGAAUGAGCCGAUGUCGGAUUAGCUAGUUGGCUGGGUAAAGGCCCACCAAGGCGACGCUCCGUAGCUGGUCUGAGAGGAUGAUCAGCCACACUGGAACUGAGACACGGUCCAGACUCCUACGGGAGGCAGCAGUGGGGAAUAUUGGACAAAGGGCGCAAGCCUGAUCCAGCCAUACCGCGUGGGUGAAGAAGGCCUUCGGGUUGUAAAGCCCUUUUGUUGGGAAAGAAAAGCAGCAGGUUAAUACCCCGCUGUUCUGACGGUACCCAAAGAAUAAGCACCGGCUAACUUCGUG